CAGUAGCCACGGUAAUACGUAGGGUGCGAGCGUUGUCCGGAAUUACUGGGCGUAAAGAGCUCGUAGGCGGUUUGUCGCGUCGUCUGUGAAAUUCUGCAGCUUAACUGUAGGCGUGCAGGCGAUACGGGCAGACUUGAGUACUACAGGGGAGACUGGAAUUCCUGGUGUAGCGGUGGAAUGCGCAGAUAUCAGGAGGAACACCGGUGGCGAAGGCGGGUCUCUGGGUAGUAACUGACGCUGAGAAGCGAAAGCGUGGGUAGCGAACAGGAUUAGAUACCCCGGUAGUCCCUGUCUCUUAUAC
Molecule: ribosomal RNA, 301 nt
Filed under: uncultured bacterium
Lineage: Bacteria
Description: partial 16S ribosomal RNA
Rfam family: Bacterial small subunit ribosomal RNA
Source: RNAcentral